Molecule: unclassified non-coding RNA, 352 nt
Filed under: uncultured bacterium
Lineage: Bacteria
Description: contains 16S-23S intergenic spacer region
Rfam family: 5.8S ribosomal RNA (bases 1-126)
Source: RNAcentral
UGCAUCGAUGAAGAACGCAGCAAAAUGCGAUAAGUAAUGUGAAUUGCAGAAUUCAGUGAAUCAUCGAAUCUUUGAACGCACAUUGCGCCCGCCAGUAUUCUGGCGGGCAUGCCUGUUCGAGCGUCAUUUCAACCCUCAAGCCCUCGGGUUUGGUGUUGGGGAUCGGCGAGCCUUUCUGGCAAGCCGGCCCCGAAAUCUAGUGGCGGUCUCGCUGCAGCCUCCAUUGCGUAGUAGUAAAACCCUCGCAACUGGAACGCGGCGCGGCCAAGCCGUUAAACCCCCAACUUCUGAAUGUUGACCUCGGAUCAGGUAGGAAUACCCGCUGAACUUAAGCAUAUCAAUAAGCGGAGGA